AUUCUCUGACACUUUCUCUGGGGAGUCGUUAGGGGGUGGCAACAAACUCAGAGUGCAGACUUGAAAUUGGCCAUUUCAAGUUGAAGCCAUUUAGGCCGCCUAACAAAUAUUUAUUUUGUCCGUUGUUGGUAUUUGUUAGUAGCACAACGGACUAAGCUUGUAGAAGGUUUGGCAAGAACAAAGCGGACGAGGGUGCAAUUCCCUCCAUCUCCACCA
Molecule: transfer-messenger RNA, 216 nt
Filed under: Candidatus Beckwithbacteria bacterium RBG_13_42_9
Lineage: Bacteria; Candidatus Beckwithiibacteriota
Description: partial transfer-messenger RNA
Rfam family: transfer-messenger RNA
About the family: Bacterial tmRNA, also known as 10Sa RNA or SsrA, is named for its dual tRNA and mRNA-like properties. Its role is to liberate the mRNA from a stalled ribosome.
Source: RNAcentral